RNAcentral lists this long non-coding RNA (623 nucleotides) under Rattus norvegicus (Norway rat). RNAcentral describes it as "long non-coding RNA NONRATT025621". Lineage: Eukaryota; Metazoa; Chordata; Mammalia; Rodentia; Muridae. The record is from RNAcentral.
AGCAGAGCACUCAGGCCUUUACUAAGGUGUCCUACCACAACCUCAGCCUGUGUUGAGCAGAAUUAGGUGGAGAGCCAGGGAGGCCCACUGAACAAGACUGAGGAAGGAGAUUGGAAGAGAAUCACCAGGAAUACACCCUUUUCUUAAGAGCUGAUAGGGAGUUCCAUGAAACUGGGUGAAUGAGAUGAGUCAAGGGAAGAAAGGAGGCAUCAUAGUGUGAGAAGAGGAGCAGGAAGUCACUGGGGAGCAGGGAAGCAGUCACAAGGCAGCUGAAAAUGACUGAGAAAAAGGAAGACACACCUGAACCUAUGAGGAUAUGUCCUCACAGAGACUGUGAUAGCAUACACAGAGGCUGCCCGGGUUCACGCAGGGGUUCCACUGCUGAGAGAAGAAAGUGGACAGAGCUCCUAUCCCUAACAGAGAAGGGAUCUCCAAUUGAUAGCCACUUAGUUUUUCUCCAGUGGAGUCUCUCUGGAUAUAUAAACCACACUUAAAGGACUGUCUAACUUUUGAGGAUGUGGCUGUGAACUUCACCUUGGAGGAGUGGGAUUUGCUGGAUCCUUCCCAGAAGCAACUCUACACAGAUGUCAUGCAGGAAACCUUCAAAAACCUAAUUGCUAUAG